ACAGUCACACAUUAGAUACCCCGGUAGUCCCAGCCCUAAACGAUGCGCGUUAGGUGUAUCGGUGACCACAAGUCACCGAGGUGCCGAAGGGAACCGUGAAACGUGCCGCCUGGGAAGUACGGUCGCAAGGCUGAAACUUAAAGGAAUUGGCGGGGAGCACCACAACGGGUGGAGCCUGCGGUUUAAUUGGACUCAACGCCGGGAAGCUCACCGGAUAAGACAGCGGAAUGAUUGCCGGGCUGAAGACCCUGCAUGACCAGCUG
RNAcentral lists this ribosomal RNA (263 nucleotides) under uncultured archaeon. Its description in RNAcentral is "partial 16S ribosomal RNA". It matches the Rfam family "Archaeal small subunit ribosomal RNA", at positions 719 to 982 of the family's 1478-position model. The record is from RNAcentral.